GUGUCAGCCGCCGCGGUAAUACGAAGGGUGCAAGCGUUAAUCGGAAUUACUGGGCGUAAAGCGUGCGUAGGCGGUUGGCUAAGUCAGAUGUGAAAGCCCUGGGCUCAACCUGGGAAUGGCAUUUGAAACUGGCCGGCUAGAGUGUGAUAGAGGAUGGCGGAAUUCCCGGUGUAGCGGUGAAAUGCGUAGAGAUCGGGAGGAACAUCCGUGGCGAAGGCGGCCAUCUGGAUCAACACUGACGCUGAGGCACGAAAGCGUGGGGAGCAAACAGGAUUAGAAACCCCGGUAGUCC
This 292-nucleotide ribosomal RNA is filed under the name uncultured bacterium. RNAcentral describes it as "partial 16S ribosomal RNA". It matches the Rfam family "Bacterial small subunit ribosomal RNA", at positions 505 to 796 of the family's 1533-position model. The record is from RNAcentral.